Molecule: ribosomal RNA, 395 nt
Filed under: uncultured bacterium
Lineage: Bacteria
Description: partial 16S ribosomal RNA
Rfam family: Bacterial small subunit ribosomal RNA
Source: RNAcentral
AUACGUAGGGUGCAAGCGUUAAUCGGAAUUUCUGGGCGUAAAGCGUGCGCAGGCGGUUUUGUAAGACAGUGGUGAAAUCCCCGGGCUCAACCUGGGAACUGCCAUUGUGACUGCAAAGCUGGAGUGCGGCAGAGGGGGAUGGGAUUCCGCGUGUAGCAGUGAAAUGCGUAGAUAUGCGGAGGAACACCGAUGGGGAAGGCAAUCCCCCGGGCCUGCACUGACGCUCAUGCACGAAAGCGUGGGGAGCAAACAGGAUUAGAUUCCCUGGUAGUCCACGCCCUAAACGAUGUCAACUGGUUGUUGGGGAUUUAUUUUCUCAGUAACGAAGCUAACGCGUGAAGUUGACCGCCUGGGGAGUACGGCCGCAAGGUUAAAACUCAAAUGAAUUGACGGGG